RNAcentral lists this ribosomal RNA (253 nucleotides) under uncultured bacterium. RNAcentral's name for it is "partial 16S ribosomal RNA". It matches the Rfam family "Bacterial small subunit ribosomal RNA", at positions 524 to 776 of the family's 1533-position model. The record is from RNAcentral.
GACGGAGGGUGCUAGCGUUGUUCGGAAUGACUGGGCGUAAAGGGCGCGUAGGCGGCCGGUUGCGUCGGAUGUGAAAGCCCGGGGCUCAACCCCGGAACGGCAUCCGAUACGGGCUGGCUUGAGACCGAGAGAGGUGAGUGGAAUACCCAGUGUAGAGGUGAAAUUCGUAGAUAUUGGGUGGAACACCGGUGGCGAAAGCGGCUCACUGGCUCGGUUCUGACGCUGAGGCGCGAAAGCGUGGGGAGCAAACAGG